RNAcentral lists this ribosomal RNA (304 nucleotides) under uncultured bacterium. RNAcentral's name for it is "partial 16S ribosomal RNA". It matches the Rfam family "Bacterial small subunit ribosomal RNA", at positions 506 to 807 of the family's 1533-position model. The record is from RNAcentral.
CAGCAGCAGCCACGGUAAGACAGAGGAUGCAAGCGUUAUCCGGAAUGAUUGGGCGUAAAGCGUCUGUAGGUGGCUUUUCAAGUCCGCCGUCAAAUCCCAGGGCUCAACCCUGGACAGGCGGUGGAAACUACCAAGCUGGAGUACGGGAGGGGCAGAGGGAAUUCUCGGUGCAGCGGUGAAAUGCGUUGAGAUCGGAAAGAACACCAACGGCAAAAGCACUCUGCUGGGCCGACACUGACACUGAGAGACGAAAGCUAAGGGAGAAGAUGGGAUUAGAGACCCCAGUAGUCCCUGUCUCUUAUAC